UACGUAGGGGGCAAGCGUUGUCCGGAAUCAUUGGGCGUAAAGAGCGUGUAGGCGGCUCGGUAAGUCCGCUGUAAAAGUCAAAGGCUCAACCUUUGAAUGUCAGUGGAUACUGCCGGGCUAGAGUCCGGAAGAGGCGAGUGGAACUCCUGGUGUAGCGGUGGAAUGCGCAGAUAUCAGGAAGAACACCAACGGCGAAGGCAGCUCGCUGGGACGGUACUGACGCUGAGACGCGAAAGCGUGGGGAGCGAACAGG
Molecule: ribosomal RNA, 253 nt
Filed under: uncultured bacterium
Lineage: Bacteria
Description: partial 16S ribosomal RNA
Rfam family: Bacterial small subunit ribosomal RNA
Source: RNAcentral